UCCCCCUUUAUAAGCACAGUUUCUGAGUAAAUUCAGGGGGUAGGGGGGUGGGCUUGAACAGGAAACCCGAGUCUUGUUCUCCAUUUAAUCUCUCUCGCCAUCUAAGUCUUUUUCAGCCCCAGCCUGCCACCCAGGUGUACCAGGCUCAUGUAAGCCGCGGGCUGGCAUAUAACACAAGAAUAUGAGCUCAACUUGGUACCCAGUACACAUAGAACCAUCUGAAGUUGCCUCAGAGAGCAAUGGUUGUAUGGCAUGCCAGCUAAGAACAGAGAGAUGUGUUGAAGUCCACCACAUAGAAGAAUUUCUCUUGUGAGCCCUAUUUAAAACUCAAGACUAUCAGAGUUACAGAUCUUUGUUGGCACAACUCCAGGUUGAAUUCUGUACCAUCAGCUAUUCAAGGACUCCAUUAGAAUACUAAUUGCUUCCUCCAAUAUGUAGCCUUUGCCUGAUGAAAGUUCUCUUGCUCUGAAUAUAAUGGAGUAUCACUUGGAAGUGACAACUUACUGUUCUGUUGAGGUACACAUAUUCAAACUAAGAACUAUUCAAUAAAAAAUGAGGUCUUUUUUCAUUAAUGUUUAGCAUUUCAUUAUAACUUCUUGGACUGUAGCUGUGUUUGAAUUCAUCUUUUAGAUUGUAUUGUCUACUCAAGAGUUUUUGUUAGUCAUAGAUAAUCGAAACAUAUUUUAGCAAAUGUCUUUGAUAAGCCAGCCACCAUCAACUACAGUGACAUCCUCCCACUCUGUCAAUAACCUCUAUGUUAUGCUUCAAAUGACAAUAUACUACAUUUGCAUUCUU
Mus musculus (house mouse) is the source of this 795-nucleotide long non-coding RNA. RefSeq annotates it as predicted gene, 38646. The transcript has 2 exons. The record is from RefSeq and is a predicted model, not a curated record. Lineage: Eukaryota; Metazoa; Chordata; Mammalia; Rodentia; Muridae.